RNAcentral lists this ribosomal RNA (402 nucleotides) under uncultured bacterium. RNAcentral's name for it is "bacterial SSU rRNA". It matches the Rfam family "Bacterial small subunit ribosomal RNA", at positions 355 to 774 of the family's 1533-position model. The record is from RNAcentral.
UGGGGAAUCUUGCACAAUGGAGGAAACUCUGAUGCAGCGACGCCGCGUGAGCGAAGAAGCCUUUCGGGGUGUAAAGCUCUUACGCCAGGGACGAUAAUGACGGUACCUGGAGAAGCAGCUGCGGCUAACUACGUGCCAGCAGCCGCGGUAAUACGUAGGCAGCAAGCGUUGUUCGGAAUUACUGGGCGUAAAGGGUGCGUAGGCGGCGCUUUAAGUUUGGUUUGAAAUCUCCCGGCUUAACUGGGAGGGUGCACUGAAAACGGGGGCGCUCGAGUUUGGGAGAGGAAAGCGUAAUUCCUGGUGUAGCGGUAAAAUGCGUAGAGAUCAGGAGGAACACCUGCGGUGCAGACGGCUUUCUGGACCAUCACUGACGCUGAGGCACGAAAGCGUGGGUAGCAAACA